RNAcentral lists this ribosomal RNA (435 nucleotides) under uncultured bacterium. RNAcentral describes it as "bacterial SSU rRNA". It matches the Rfam family "Bacterial small subunit ribosomal RNA", at positions 772 to 1214 of the family's 1533-position model. The record is from RNAcentral.
ACUGAAUAGAUACCCAGGUAGUCCACGCCCUAAACGAUGUCAACUAGGUGUUGGAGGAGCAAAUCUUUCAGUACCGCAGCUAACGCGUGAAGUUGACCGCCUGGGGAGUACGGUCGCAAGAUUAAAACUCAAAGGAAUUGACGGGGACCCGCACAAGCGGUGGAUGAUGUGGAUUAAUUCGAUGCAACGCGAACAACCUUACCUACCCUUGACAUGUCUGGAAUCCUGCUGAAAGGCGGGAGUGCCCGAAAGGGAACCGGAACACAGGUGCUGCAUGGCUGUCGUCAGCUCGUGUCGUGAGAUGUUGGGUUAAGUCCCGCAACGAGCGCAACCCUUGUCCUUAGUUGCUACGCAAGGGCACUCUAAGGAGACUGCCGGUGACAAACCGGAGGAAGGUGGGGAUGACGUCAAGUCCUCAUGGCCCUAUGGUAGGGU